AUACGGAGGGUGCAAGCGUUACUCGGAAUCACUGGGCGUAAAGCGCGCGCAGGCGGCUUGAUAAGUUGGAUGUGAAAGCCUACGGCUCAACCGUAGAACUGCAUCCAAAACUGUCAAGCUAGAGUCUGGGAGGGGAAGAUGGAAUUAGUUGUGUAGGGGUAAAAUUCGUAGAGAUAACUAGGAAUACCAAAAGCGAAGGCGAUCUUCUGGAACAGUACUGACGCUGAGGCGCGAAAGCGUGGGGAGCAAACAGGAUUAGAAACCCCGGUAGUCC
RNAcentral lists this ribosomal RNA (274 nucleotides) under uncultured bacterium. RNAcentral describes it as "partial 16S ribosomal RNA". It matches the Rfam family "Bacterial small subunit ribosomal RNA", at positions 523 to 796 of the family's 1533-position model. The record is from RNAcentral.